RNAcentral lists this ribosomal RNA (930 nucleotides) under uncultured bacterium. Its description in RNAcentral is "bacterial SSU rRNA". It matches the Rfam family "Bacterial small subunit ribosomal RNA", at positions 8 to 932 of the family's 1533-position model. The record is from RNAcentral.
AGAGUUUGAUCCUGGCUCAGAUUGAACGCUGGCGGCGUGCUUUACACAUGCAAGUCGAACGGCAGCAUGCCUAGCAAUAGGUGAUGGCGAGUGGCGGACGGGUGAGUAAUACAUCGAGACAUGCCUUAUAGUUGGGGAUAACUCAUCGAAAGAUGAGCUAAUACCGAAUAAUCUCUGAGGAGGAAAGCCGGGGACCUGCGAGGGCCUGGCGCUAUUAGAGUGGUCGAUGGUCGAUUAGUUAGUUGGCGGGGUAAAGGCCCACCAAGGCAAUGAUCGAUAGCUGUUCUGAGAGGAAGAUCAGCCACACUGGGACUGAGACACGGCCCAGACUCCUACGGGAGGCAGCAGUGGGGAAUUUUGGACAAUGGGGGCAACCCUGAUCCAGCAACGCCGCGUGAAUGAAGAAGGCCUUAGGGUUGUAAAGUUCUUUUGUCUGGGAGCAAAAUGCGUGGGUUAAUAACCCAUGUAGAUGAGAGUACCAGAAGAAUAAGCACCGGCUAACUACGUGCCAGCAGCCGCGGUAAUACGUAGGGUGCGAGCGUUAAUCGGAAUUACUGGGCGUAAAGGGUGCGCAGGCGGAUAUAUAAGUUAGAUGUGAAAUCCCCGAGCUUAACUUGGGAAUGGCAUUUAAGACUGUAUAUCUAGAGUUUGUCAGAGGGGGGUAGAAUUCCAAGUGUAGCAGUGAAAUGCGUAGAGAUUUGGAGGAAUACCGGUGGCGAAGGCGGCCCCCUGGGAUAGAACUGACGCUCAGGCACGAAAGCGUGGGUAGCAAACAGGAUUAGAUACCCUGGUAGUCCACGCCCUAAACGAUGUCUACUUGCUGUUGGGGGUAAAACCUUAGUAGCGAAGCUAACGUGAGAAGUAGACCGCCUGGGGAGUACGGCCGCAAGAUUAAAACUCAAAGGAAUUGACGGGGACCCGCACAAGCGG